UACAGAGGGGGCAAGCGUUAUUCGGAAUUAUUGGGCGUAAAGGGCGCGUAGGCGGCCUGGCAAGUGGAAGGUGAAAUCCCUCGGCUUAACCGAGGAACUGCCCUCCAAACUGCUUGGCUUGAGUCCGGGAGAGGUGAGUGGAAUUCCCGGUGUAGUGGUGGAAUGCGUAGAGAUCGGGAGGAACACCAGUGGCGAAGGCGGCCGGCUGGGGGUGACCUGACGCUGAGGCGCGAAAGCGUGGGGAGCGAACCGG
RNAcentral lists this ribosomal RNA (253 nucleotides) under uncultured bacterium. RNAcentral describes it as "partial 16S ribosomal RNA". It matches the Rfam family "Bacterial small subunit ribosomal RNA", at positions 524 to 776 of the family's 1533-position model. The record is from RNAcentral.